This 727-nucleotide long non-coding RNA is filed under the name Medicago truncatula (barrel medic). RNAcentral describes it as "long non-coding RNA (MTRU_LNC003556)". The record is from RNAcentral. Lineage: Eukaryota; Viridiplantae; Streptophyta; Magnoliopsida; Fabales; Fabaceae.
GAAGAAUUGAGCACUGCUUGGGAAGUAGCUUAUGAUGCAUUGGCAACUGCAAUUAAGAAGGCAAUGAGUUAAACUUGAGAUGAUAUAUAAUUAUAUCUCAACUUAAUAAAUAAAAGUUGUAUUACUAAAACUUGUUUAACAAGUUUAUAUAAUAAAAAUUAUUGAAAUGACUAUUAAAUAGUUAUUAUUAUAUUUAUGCUAGUGCAUUUCUUGUUAAAAAAAUCCCCCUCAAUAUUGAAAUAACUAUGAAAUAGUUAUCAUAUUUGUGCUAUGUGCCUUUUCUUUAAUCCACCACCAAGAUUGAGUCUUCAAUUGAUAGAAAUCCCCCAACAUGAACAAAAAAAAAAUGCCCUCAACAUUGAUCCCUUUAUUAUCAAAAGGAUGAUUACACCAUUUAACAAUGUACAAUAAACACCUAAACAUUGCAAAGUUUCCAUCCAAUCUUCAUGACACAAGACACACAAAAAAAAAGAUAAAGUCUUUUCAACUCCACACCCAUUAAUGUAAAGUUGAGAAUCUUGAUGUAAAAUCUCACGUAUGUACAAAUCAUCCUUUGCUAAGAGAUUGAAUAAACACCCUUUCUCCAACCUAUCCACACAUCUUUGCCACAAAAACAAUAGGAUCUAUUGGUAAGUCAAAAAGUACCUCUUUGUAUAGUUUGUAAAAGAAAAAUAGACGAAAUAAAGUAAAAAUAAAGUAAAUGAGAAGAAGAGAGCCUCAAGUGAAU